RNAcentral lists this ribosomal RNA (492 nucleotides) under uncultured bacterium. RNAcentral describes it as "partial 16S ribosomal RNA". It matches the Rfam family "Bacterial small subunit ribosomal RNA", at positions 28 to 507 of the family's 1533-position model. The record is from RNAcentral.
GAUGAACGCUGGCUACAGGCUUAACACAUGCAAGUCGAGGGGAAACGGCAUUGAGUGCUCGCACUGAAUGGACGUCGACCGGCGCACGGGUGAGUAACGCGUAUCCAACCUUCCCGUUACUGCGGGAUAACCUGCCGAAAGGCAGACUAAUACCGCAUGUUCUUCGAUGACGGCAUCAGAUUCGAAGCAAAGAUCCGUCGGUAACGGAGGGGGAUGCGUCUGAUUAGCUAGUUGGCGGGGCGACGGCCCACCAAGGCGACGAUCAGUAGGGGUUCUGAGAGGAAGGUCCCCCACAUUGGAACUGAGACACGGUCCAAACUCCUACGGGAGGCAGCAGUGAGGAAUAUUGGUCAAUGGGCGGAAGCCUGAACCAGCCAAGUAGCGUGCAGGAUGACGGCCCUACGGGUUGUAAACUGCUUUUAUGCGGGGAUAAAGUGAGGGACGCGUCCCUUUUUGCAGGUACCGCAUGAAUAAGGACCGGCUAAUUCCGUG